RNAcentral lists this ribosomal RNA (500 nucleotides) under uncultured bacterium. RNAcentral's name for it is "SSU rRNA". It matches the Rfam family "Bacterial small subunit ribosomal RNA", at positions 26 to 521 of the family's 1533-position model. The record is from RNAcentral.
AGAUUGAACGCUGGCGGCGUGCUUAACACAUGCAAGUCGAGCGGUAACGCGGGAGCAAUCCUGGCGACGAGCGGCGAACGGGUGAGUAAUGCUUGGGAAUCUGCCCAUUAGUGGGGAACAACCAGCCGAAAGGUUGGCUAAUACCGCAUACGCCCUACGGGGGAAAGCGGGGGCUCGUAAGACCUCGCGCUAAUGGAUGAGCCCAAGUCGGAUUAGCUUGUUGGUAGGGUAACGGCCUACCAAGGCGACAAUCCGUAGCUGGUCUGAGAGGACGACCAGCCACACUGGGACUGAGACACGGCCCAGACUCCUACGGGAGGCAGCAGUGGGGAAUAUUGGACAAUGGGGGAAACCCUGAUCCAGCGACGCCGCGUGUGUGAAGAAGGCCUGCGGGUUGUAAAGCACUUUUAGUGGGGAUGAAAAGCCUAGGGUUAACACCUCUGGGUCUUGACCUAACCCACAGAAAAAGCACCGGCUAACUCUGCGCCAGCAGCCGCGGU